GUGCACCAGGCGAGAAUUUUUCUCAAUGGGGGAAACCCUGAAGGAGCGACGCCGCGUGGAGGAUGAAGGCUUUCGGGUUGUAAACUCCUGUCAUUUGAGAACAAGUGUAGCCAAAUAACUACUGGCUACUUGAUAGUAUCAGAAGAGGAAGGGACGGCUAACUCUGUGCCAGCAGCCGCGGUAAUACAGAGGUCCCAAGCGUUGUUCGGAUUCAUUGGGCGUAAAGGGUGCGUAGGUGGCGCCGUCAGUGGGGUGUGAAAUUUCGGGGCUUAACUCCGAAACUGCAUUCCAUACUGCGGUGCUUGAGGACUGGAGAGGAGACUGGAAUUCAUGGUGUAGCAGUGAAAUGCGUAGAGAUCAUGAGGAAGACCAGUGGCGAAGGCGGGUCUCUGGACAGUUCCUGACACUGAGGCACGAAGGCUAGGGGAGCGAACGGGAUUAGAUACCCCGGUAGU
RNAcentral lists this ribosomal RNA (455 nucleotides) under uncultured organism. RNAcentral describes it as "bacterial SSU rRNA". It matches the Rfam family "Bacterial small subunit ribosomal RNA", at positions 346 to 794 of the family's 1533-position model. The record is from RNAcentral.